RNAcentral lists this ribosomal RNA (606 nucleotides) under Triticum aestivum (bread wheat). RNAcentral's name for it is "partial small subunit ribosomal RNA". The record is from RNAcentral. Lineage: Eukaryota; Viridiplantae; Streptophyta; Magnoliopsida; Poales; Poaceae.
AUGUUGUCGCCGAGUUCUGAUCCUCCCAUGGAUGUCCAAAAAGACGCUGCCUUGCCGGCGGCGACAAAGGAGGAGGACCUUUCCUGCUGUACCGCGGCGUCGCUGAAAGUGUUCAUGGUGCUGUAUUCGCUGUAUAUGGUUGGCCUGAUCAUAUGGAUGUUCAAGGUUUGCGAAAACUGGUGGCAGGCAUGGCCGGCCGUUUUUCUCGUGUUAGUCUGGGUAUUGGUACUCCUGGUGCUUGCCGAGCAACAUGCCAAAGUAACAUUGUCCGAGAGUUCUGAUCAUUGCCUGGACCUCGAGAAAGGCGCUGGGCCAGCGCUGACCAAGGAGGAGGAGCUGGCCAAGGUGAACUCUGGCAUUGCCAAGGGUAUCAUGGUGGUUCUGGAUGUGAUGAUGGUGUUUUAUUCGCUGUUUAUGAUUGGCCUGAUGAUCUAUAUGGUCAAGGUUUCCACCAACAACUUGUGGGACGCAUGGUCAGGUGUUGUUAUCGUGUUGCCAAUCUGGGUAUUGUCACUCUAUAUGCAUUUCCAACAACGUGCCAAGAAGCGUGCGCUGCUAAGCAAUGGCAGUAAUCUUAGUACCAAACUGCUGGAGUCUACGAAAUAA